UGGGGAAUAUUGCACAAUGGGCGCAAGCCUGAUGCAGCCAUGCCGCGUGUAUGAAGAAGGCCUUCGGGUUGUAAAGUACUUUCAGAGGGGCGGAAGGCGAUGUGGUUAAUAACCGCGUCGAUUGACGUUACCCGCAGAAGAAGCACCGGCUAACUCCGUGCCAGAAGCCGCGGUAAUACGGAGGGUGCAAGCGUUAAUCGGAAUUACUGGGCGUAAAGCGCACGCAGGCGGUCUGUCAAGUCGGAUGUGAAAUCCCCGGGCUCAACCUGGGAACUGCAUCCGAAACUGGCAGGCUUGAGUCUCGUAGAGGGGGGUAGAAUUCCAGGUGUAGCGGUGAAAUGCGUAGAGAUCUGGAGGAAUACCGGUGGCGAAGGCGGCCCCCUGGACGAAGACUGACGCUCAGGUGCGAAAGCGUGGGGAGCAAACA
This 427-nucleotide ribosomal RNA is filed under the name uncultured bacterium. RNAcentral describes it as "partial 16S ribosomal RNA". It matches the Rfam family "Bacterial small subunit ribosomal RNA", at positions 355 to 774 of the family's 1533-position model. The record is from RNAcentral.